RNAcentral lists this ribosomal RNA (440 nucleotides) under uncultured bacterium. RNAcentral describes it as "partial 16S ribosomal RNA". It matches the Rfam family "Bacterial small subunit ribosomal RNA", at positions 338 to 795 of the family's 1533-position model. The record is from RNAcentral.
CCUACGGGUGGCAGCAGUGGGGAAUAUUGCACAAUGGGGGAAACCCUGAUGCAGCGACGCCGCGUGAGUGAAGAAGUAUUUCGGUAUGUAAAGCUCUAUCAGCAGGGAGGAAAAUGACGGUACCUGAUUAAGAAGCCCCGGCUAACUACGGGCCAGCAGCCGCGGGAAUACGUAGGGGGCAAGCGUUAUCCGGAUUUACUGGGUGUAAAGGGAGCGCAGACGGCAGAACAAGGCUGGCGUGAAAUGCCGGGGCUUAACCCCGGAACUGCUUUUGAUACUGUGCAGCUAGAGUGCAGGAGAGGGAAGUAGAAUUCCUAGUGUAGCGGUGAAAUGCGUAGAUAUGAGGAGGAACACCAGUGGCGAAGGCGGCUUACUGGACUGUAACUGACGCUGAGGCUCGAAAGCGUGGGGAGCAAACAGGAUUAGAUACCCGUGUAGUC